AAGUCGAGCGGACCGAACGAGAGCUUGCUCUUGUUCGGUCAGCGGCGGACGGGUGAGUAACACGUGGGCAACCUGCCCGCAAGACCGGGAUAACUCCGGGAAACCGGAGCUAAUACCGGAUAACACCAAAGACCGCAUGGUCUUUGGUUGAAAGGCGGCUUCGGCUGUCACUUGCGGAUGGGCCCGCGGCGCAUUAGCUAGUUGGUGAGGUAACGGCUCACCAAGGCGACGAUGCGUAGCCGGCCUGAGAGGGUGACCGGCCACACUGGGACUGAGACACGGCCCAGACUCCUACGGGAGGCAGCAGUAGGGAAUCUUCCGCAAUGGACGAAAGUCUGACGGAGCGACGCCGCGUGAGCGAAGAAGGCCUUCGGGUCGUAAAGCUCUGUUGUGAGGGACGAAGGAGCGCCGUUUGAAUAAGGCGGCGCGGUGACGGUACCUCACGAGAAAGCCCCGGCUAACUACGUGCCAGCAGCCGCGGUAAUACGUAGGGGGCGAGCGUUGUCCGGAAUUAUUGGGCGUAAAGCGCGCGCAGGCGGUCCUUUAAGUCUGAUGUGAAAGCCCACGGCUCAACCGUGGAGGGUCAUUGGAAACUGGGGGACUUGAGUGCAGGAGAGGAGAGCGGAAUUCCACGUGUAGCGGUGAAAUGCGUAGAGAUGUGGAGGAACACCAGUGGCGAAGGCGGCUCUCUGGCCUGUAACUGACGCUGAGGCGCGAAAG
Molecule: ribosomal RNA, 720 nt
Filed under: uncultured bacterium
Lineage: Bacteria
Description: bacterial SSU rRNA
Rfam family: Bacterial small subunit ribosomal RNA
Source: RNAcentral